UUUCAGUCUAGGAGAGUUCCUAUGUGUUUUUAAGAAUUUUUCCACUCAGCGUGCAAUGGAAGCAAAUAGCAGCCCCUUUGUAGUGAAUUCAGCCUUUUGCUUCUACAGGUUGCCAUAAGGGAUUUUAGAUAUAGUU
Small nucleolar RNA from Sorex fumeus (smoky shrew), 136 nucleotides. RefSeq annotates it as small nucleolar RNA SNORA70. The record is from RefSeq and is a predicted model, not a curated record. NCBI's taxonomy places the organism in Eukaryota, Metazoa, Chordata, Mammalia, Eulipotyphla, Soricidae. The transcript has a single exon.